CCUACGGGGGGCAGCAGUGAGGAAUAUUGGUCAAUGGCCGUAAGGCUGAACCAGCCAAGUAGCGUGAGGGAAGACUGCCCUAUGGGUUGUAAACCUCUUUUAUGCGGGGAUAAAGGUGUCCACGUGUGGAUGUUUGCAGGUACCGCAUGAAUAAGGACCGGCUAAUUCCGUGCCAGCAGCCGCGGUAAUACGGAAGGUCCGGGCGUUAUCCGGAUUUAUUGGGUUUAAAGGGAGCGUAGGCCGGUCUUUAAGCGUGCCGUGAAAUUUUGUGGCUCAACCAUGAGAGUGCGGCGCGAACUGGAGACCUUGAGUGCGCGGAAGGCAGGCGGAAUUCGUGGUGUAGCGGUGAAAUGCUUAGAUAUCACGAAGAACCCCGAUUGCGAAGGCGGGUUCCUGGACAUUAACUGACGCUGAGGCACGAAGGCCAGGGGAGCGAAAGGGAUUAGAUACCCGGGUAGUC
Molecule: ribosomal RNA, 460 nt
Filed under: uncultured bacterium
Lineage: Bacteria
Description: partial 16S ribosomal RNA
Rfam family: Bacterial small subunit ribosomal RNA
Source: RNAcentral